UAAAGAUGUCAUUAUCAAAGGGCCUGACAAGUGAUGUGGCCUGCCCUGGGUCACAGUGGAUGGGGGAAUGGACUGUGGGGAGCACCCUAAUCCUAGCUCCCGAUAAUGGUCUGUUAAUCUUCAACAGCGUUCCAGACACAGAUAAGUACAAAUAGAUAACACGCCAGAAGCAAGAGAAUGUGGAGGAGAGGGACAGCACUGGACAAGAGGAGCCCUAGAGAGAUUCCAUUCUCAACGAGAAAGGCCUCAAAUACACGUGCCAUGGGUGGAAGCUCUCUUACAUAUGCGGACUAGAGAAGUGACAUCCAGCUUCAAUCAAACAGGAUCUCUUGUCCCUUGAGCCCCUGGGCCUGUGCAAAAGCCAAAUGCCUAUUCCAUCAGGAAGAAGUGCCUAAAUUCAACCUAAGUCUUUAUUCUAAGGGUUGGUUUGAUUCAUACCACAUAUCUUAACUACCUUUCUACAACAACCCAAACACACCUUCUAUAAAAGAAUAUGGGUAAGGAAAGAAAGGGAAGAGUUCGCUCUUUUUUUCUGGUUCCUUCUUGACAAAGCAGACAAUGGUGAUGACUGAUUUUCUUGGUUACAGGCUUCCAUCUGUCUGUCUAAAAACCUAUACACCCGCAACUCUGCUUUCAUUGGAUAGAGAGGUGGUUAUCAAAGCAGAGGCUAUUUUUGAUUCUUUGGCCCUGAACUUCUUCAAGUUGUAUUGAUAGAUAAAACUGCAGAUGCUCUGAGAACAAGGACUUCAAGAGGUCAGGCAGACCUUGAAUGAAACAAACACUUGAACUAAAUACAAACGAGACACCACUUAAAAAUUAUCAGAACUCAAAAAUCAGAGACAAGUGGGUAGUUAAUCCUAGAACAAAAGGUUUCUUCGCCU
This 881-nucleotide long non-coding RNA is filed under the name Homo sapiens (human). Its description in RNAcentral is "HSALNT0330089". Lineage: Eukaryota; Metazoa; Chordata; Mammalia; Primates; Hominidae. The record is from RNAcentral.